CCCUCCCGCCUCUCCGCGCUCUCAGGGGGAACUCGGGAGAGCUGCCGUCCCUGACCUCGACCUGAGACGUGGAGGAGGGACAGGGAAAAAGCCUUCUUCUCGCAGCUGCAGGUUGCCCCACCGAGGGCAUUUUUCCGCACCGAGGGGGCGGGGGGCAGAAUGCACGCCAGAAAACCUAAGUGCGCUGGGUUUAAAAUAGCAACAACAACAAAAAUUACAAAUAACCAAAAAACAGCAUAAGAAUUAAAAACAGUUAUAUUCCAAUGUUUUUAAUACUUGGUUCACAUUUUGGAUGCUCUCCCCAGGGAUCCGACGGCGCUGCGGAGGCGGCAGCGAUGUUUGGGAUCCUAAAGAAAGCAUCAGACCAGACUCAGGUCUGGACGUCCCUCAAGUGGCCCGGAGGUACCGAUAUUAGUGUCACCGCCGUCAGUGCCCUGCCCAGAAAUAAAACCUUUGUUCUGAGAGAAAUUGAAAAGCUGGAAAAUAUGGAGUAGGCGAUGUGAAGAGAAACUACAGGGAAUGUAGAGGUCGGGUUUUAAAUGCGUAUUUCCUCAAGGAUGUUGUGGAAGCAGAGACAAGGUGGCUGGCCUGGAGCAGGCUGGAGGACCUCCAAGGAUCUCCACAGGGAGGCAGUUACAUUUAACACCCUACCUAGCAAAAGAAGAAAAGAACAACCCCAUGAAAACAUCCCUGGGGUUUUAACAAAGGAAUCCCUGACAAAACGUGACUGAUAACUAGGACAGAACUGAAAAGUGGAAGUAAAGUCAAUCCCGACCCCCCAGGACGCCUGGGAACUCAGGGAAGCGCCUCCAGAAGGGAACAGCUCAGAAACCCUGACCAGACCUGGCGGACAAGAACCGUGUGGGCGGGGGACAGGAACGCCCACCCAGAGGCCGGGAGAGCAUGGUCCAGGACUGGCAGCCACUAACAGCCUCUGAAUGAAACUGAGGAAGGAAGUCAAUGGUAAUCGGGACCAUUAGGGUGCACCAGGGCAUAUAGAACAGUCGGGGACGGUAAGAAAACAUUCCUUCCAGAGACAUUCACUGGCACCUCCCGCGCAGACACACUGCCAGGCCCGGGAAUCGCAGAGAUGAACUGGGAGACUUGUCUGCCCUGGAGAACUCACAGGUAGGAAAAUGAGGCAGAAAAGAGCCGUAGGCUUCCUAACAGGAGCCCACGCAGGGGGGCAGUGAGCAGAGAGCAAUGCGCAGACCGCGUGGUCAGUUCUUGGGGGGAGGGAAUUGAGAAAGUCCCACAGAACAGCUGUUGCUAGAUCAGUACUUGAAUAUGAGUUUGACAGGAGGUCAAGUAGGGGAGGUCAUGUCUGGUAAAUGGAUGAGCACAGAUGACCUUGUGGUUUAGAGCAGCCUCUGGUGGCUGACAGCCCCAAAUGGAAUCCUGCAACUGCUGCUAAUUAGCUGUGUGAUCUUGACCUUGGGCAAGAUACCAAUCUCAAUGAGCCUCAGUUUACUCAACUAUAAAAUUAGGAUAAUCGUAGUGCCUCCCUUGUAGGAACUAUCAAGAGCAUACUGUAGUAAGUACUUAGAACACAAAGUAAGUACUCAGUGAACAUCAGCCAUUAUUAUUAAAUGUUCAAAAACUUCUGAAAGGGUUCACACACGCUCACCCAUGUUUUAAACAUUAUUCAGCUCUGAUCUGCCAAAUAUUAAAUAUGAAAGAAGCACGGAGAGGGAUAUGAAAGUCAUUGGGAAGGCAUGGGAGGGUACUAUGAGGUACUGUGUUUCUAUUAUCUCUCUCCCACCUCCGAAGCUCCUGCCUGUGCCAUUACCCAAGUCAAACAGAAGCCAAUAGGAGGCAAGGGGUCACAGGCUGCAGUCUGCGGCAGUCAGCCUCCCAGACACACAACAAGGUGGAGGAGGGUGAAGAGGGGAUCUGGAGGAGCGGGUGGAGAAAAUCCGGCAGAGCCCUACCCACUUCCCGCUGUUGCUCAUCUCUACGUUCUCAUCACCCUUGAUGGUGUUACAGGUUGACUUAUGUCUCCCCAAAUUCAUAUGUUGAGGUCCUAACUCCCAGCAACUCAGAAUGUGACCUUAUCUGAAAAAAGGAUGAUUACAGAUGUAAUUAGUUAAGAUCAGGUUAUUAGGGUGGCCCCUAAUCCAUAAUGACUGGUGUCCUUAUAAAAAGAGGAAAUUUGGGAAGACAAAUCCACAGGGAGAACACCAUGAGAAGAUUAGAGUUGUGCUGCUACAAGCCAAAGAACUGCCAGAAGCCGGGAGAGGGGCCUGAAAUAGAUCCUUCCCUGCCGACAACCUUGAUCUCAGAUGUCUAGCUCCCAGAACUGGGAGAUAAUACAUUUCUGUUGUUUAAGCUACCUCCCUUCUCGUACUUUGUUACAGCUGUCCUAGCAAAUUAAUCCAGUUGCCUCUGUAAUCCUGCCCACAGCUGUUGAGCAGCAAAUCUCUUCAACCUUUCGGAGAUGGACUGCAUUUCCUACCAAGACCCUGGCUGAUAGCAGAGUGACCCCAGGAAACACAGUUCCUCAAUUGUGGGAUUCUGGCUGGGUUACCCACAGAUUCGUGCGUGCAUAGCGAACAAAAGGGAUGCUAGUAACCCGUGGCAUGGAGGGGCAGCAGGAUUACUCCAGUUAGCACUGGGAAUAGUGUGAGGGGCAUAUGGACCACAAAGCUUUGGGGGCUUUUGCUGCUGUUGCUCUUGAUUGCUAUGGCAACAGUAAUAAUUAUAAAGAUUGUAGAGUGAAAUGGAUGUUUCUGACUGCCCUGGAGAGUUUUUAAACAAUGGAAGAGAUAAACAUGAAGUAUUAAAUUCUUAUUUUAAGGUACAGAUAUGCUGAAAUCCAAAGAACCAUUUAUCUGGGAUAGGCACAGGACAGAAUAAGUUCAUCUUCAGAUACUAAAUAUAAUUGUACAGAUUACAGAAUUGUGGCAAAGGUUAAGUGCUCAACCUCAGCAAGUUCUCUUGCUAAGAUUAGGACACUGAUUGGGAAGGAGUAGGACCAUAGACUUGUGAUAGGAACAUUUGGACAGACACAGACAAAGCCGAAUUCCCAAAUCUCAAGGCUCCCUUGUAUACAGAAGCAGCCCCGCCUCCCCUGUGCAAGGAAAUUAGCCUUCACAUACACUAAGAGCUUUCAAGACUUCACUGGGGCCUCUGCCUCCCACAUGGAUGCCUGUUCUCCUCCAAACUUGCCCCUGAUGCACCUCAUUGACUCCAGGAGCAUAACAAGAAUAAACUCUCUACAGAGCCCAGAAGGAGAAAUGCAAGGUCAGCCAGAGAAGAGGAGGAUGGAAAUAGAUUAUAUACCACGAAAGCUGGAAAAUCUUGCCAAUAUGUGUUGCAGAGAAGCUGAGAACUGUGUAUGGGAAUGGAUUCUAAAGUGUUAGACUAAGGAGGAUGAAAUACUAGGUUAGGCCAGGCAUGGUGGCUCACACCUAUAUUCCCAGCACUUUGGAAGGCAGAGACAGGAGGAUAGCUUGAGGCCAGGAGUUCAGGACCAGCCUCGGCAACGCGGUGAGACACCGUCUCUACAAAAAAUGUAAAAAUUAGCCACGUGUGGUGGUGCACGCGUGCCUCUGGUCCCAGCUGCUCAAAGGCUGAGGUGGGAGGAUCAUUUGAACCUAGGAGGUCAAGGCUGCAGAGACCUAUAAUGGCACCAUUGCACUUCAGCCUGGUGACAGAGCAAGACCCUGUCUCGAAUAAAAUAUAAAGUAAGAUUCAGCAAAAUUUAUGAAUAUGCAUACAUUCCCCUGGGAUUUAUGAUUUAGUGUGUUAUAUAUUGGAGUGAUUAAAAUGUUUUAGACAACGUGGUGAUGUUUCUUUUCUUUUUUUUUUUUAAUUGCGAUGGAGUCUCGUUCUGUUGCCCAGGCUGGAGUGUGGUGGCAUGAUCUCUGCUCACUGCAACCUCCACCUCCCAGGUUCUCGUGCCUCAGCCUCCUGAGUAGCUGAGACUACAGGCGCACUGCACCACGCCCGGCUAAUUUUUUUGUAUUUUUAGUAGAGAUGGAGUUUUGCCAUGUUGGUGAGAAUGGUCUCAAACUCCUAACCUCAGGUGAUCCACCUGCCUCCGCCUCCCAAAGUUCUGGGAUUACAGGUGUGAGCCACUGCACCCAGCGAUGUUUCUUAAUAUACUAUGAAUAUACAGAAAACGCUGAAUACUUUAUUUUUUUUUUAUUUAUUUUUUGUGAGAUGGAGUCUCGCUCUUGUCGCCCAGGCUGGAGUGCAGUGGCGCGAUCUCAGCUCACUGCAACCUCCACCUCCCGGGUUCAAGUGAUUCUCCUGUCUCAGCCUCCUGAGUAGCUGGGAUUACAGGCAUAUGCCACCAUGCCCGGCUAAUUUUUGUAUUUUUAGUAGAGAUGGGGUUUCGCCAUGUUGACCAGGCUGGUCUUGAACUCCUGACCUCAGGUGAUCUGCCCACUUUGGCCUCCCAAAGCGCUGGGAUUACAGGCUUGAGCCACCGCACCCGCCCCACGCUGAAUAGUUUAAAAGGUAAUUUGUGGAAAACAGAUCAUAAUGCACAUGACUCUUGUC
This 4506-nucleotide long non-coding RNA is filed under the name Homo sapiens (human). RNAcentral's name for it is "non-protein coding TBC1D8-AS1:8". Lineage: Eukaryota; Metazoa; Chordata; Mammalia; Primates; Hominidae. The record is from RNAcentral.